GCAUUAUACCGUGAAACUGCGAAUGGCUCAUUAAAUCAGUUAUCGUUUAUUUGAUAGUACCUUACUACUUGGAUAACCGUGGUAAUUCUAGAGCUAAUACAUGCUAAAAACCCCGACUUCGGGAGGGGUGUAUUUAUUAGAUAAAAAACCAAUGCCCUUCGGGGCUCUUUGGUGAUUCAUGAUAACUUAACGGAUCGCAUGGCCUUGCGCCGGCGACGGUUCAUUCAAAUUUCUGCCCUAUCAACUUUCGAUGGUAAGGUAUUGGCUUACCAUGGUUUCAACGGGUAACGGGGAAUUAGGGUUCGAUUCCGGAGAGGGAGCCUGAGAAACGGCUACCACAUCCAAGGAAGGCAGCAGGCGCGCAAAUUACCCAAUCCCGACUCGGGGAGGUAGUGACAAUAAAUACUGAUACAGGGCUCUUUUGGGUCUUGUAAUCGGAAUGAGUACAAUUUAAACCCCUUAACGAGGAACAAUUGGAGGGCAAGUCUGGUGCCAGCAGCCGCGGUAAUUCCAGCUCCAAUAGCGUAUAUUAAAGUUGUUGCAGUUAAAAAGCUCGUAGUUGAACCUUGGGCCUGGCUGGCCGGUCCGCCUCACCGCGUGUACUGGUCCGGCCGGGCCUUUCCUUCUGGAGAGCCGCAUGCCCUUCACUGGGUGUGUUGGGGAACCAGGACUUUUACUUUGAAAAAAUUAGAGUGUUCAAAGCAGGCCUUUGCUCGAAUACGUUAGCAUGGAAUAAUAGAAUAGGACGUGCGGUCCUAUUUUGUUGGUUUCUAGGACCGCCGUAAUGAUUAAUAGGGAUAGUCGGGGGCAUCAGUAUUCAAUUGUCAGAGGUGAAAUUCUUGGAUUUAUUGAAGACUAACUACUGCGAAA
RNAcentral lists this ribosomal RNA (870 nucleotides) under Hermatomyces krabiensis. RNAcentral's name for it is "SSU rRNA". It matches the Rfam family "Eukaryotic small subunit ribosomal RNA", at positions 71 to 950 of the family's 1831-position model. Lineage: Eukaryota; Fungi; Ascomycota; Dothideomycetes; Pleosporales; Hermatomycetaceae. The record is from RNAcentral.